RNAcentral lists this ribosomal RNA (495 nucleotides) under uncultured bacterium. RNAcentral's name for it is "partial 16S ribosomal RNA". It matches the Rfam family "Bacterial small subunit ribosomal RNA", at positions 30 to 506 of the family's 1533-position model. The record is from RNAcentral.
AUGAACGCUGGCGGCGUGCCUAAUACAUGCAAGUCGAGCGAACAGACGAGGAGCUUGCUCCUCUGACGUUAGCGGCGGACGGGUGAGUAACACGUGGAUAACCUACCUAUAAGACUGGGAUAACUUCGGGAAACCGGAGCUAAUACCGGAUAAUAUAUUGAACCGCAUGGUUCAAUAGUGAAAGACGGUUUUGCUGUCACUUAUAGAUGGAUCCGCGCCGCAUUAGCUAGUUGGUAAGGUAACGGCUUACCAAGGCAACGAUGCGUAGCCGACCUGAGAGGGGAGAGGGCCACACGGAAACGGGACCACGGCCCAGACCCCUAGGGGGGGAAGCAGGGGGAAAUCUUCCGCAAGGGGGGAAAGCCUGAGGGGGCAACGCCGGGGGGGGAAUAAGGGUUUUGGGAUCGAAAAACUCUUUUAUUGGGAAAAAAAAAAUGGGAAAAUAACUAUGCCCGUUUGGAGGGAACCUAAGAAAAAAGCCCGGGGUAACUAGGG